UACGAAGGGGGCUAGCGUUGCUCGGAAUCACUGGGCGUAAAGGGUGCGUAGGCGGGUCUUUAAGUCAGGGGUGAAAUCCUGGAGCUCAACUCCAGAACUGCCUUUGAUACUGAAGAUCUUGAGUUCGGGAGAGGUGAGUGGAACUCCGAGUGUAGAGGUGAAAUUCGUAGAUAUUCGGAAGAACACCAGUGGCGAAGGCGGCUCACUGGCCCGGUACUGACGCUGAGAUGCGAAAGCGUGGGGAGCAAACAGG
Molecule: ribosomal RNA, 253 nt
Filed under: uncultured bacterium
Lineage: Bacteria
Description: partial 16S ribosomal RNA
Rfam family: Bacterial small subunit ribosomal RNA
Source: RNAcentral